UUCUUUUCAUUAACCUACAUUUCUUUUGUAGUCCAUGGUCUCAGUUAUCCACAACAUAUGGAAAUUACAUUCCAAUUAUGCCUCAGUUCCCCUUAAACCUAGUUGAUUUCUUUUAUUUCUUGGUUAACUGUGUCUUUCCUUUGUAGAAGUGUAUUAAUAACCAUGUUUUUGUUUGAUCAGACUAUUUGUACAGAUAUGUGUAUGUACCUAUUCAUUUGUGAUGACGACAAUGAGAUCAGUUUUGUUUCUGUCAAAAGGUGAGGUAACUAUUUUUAAUCCUUAUGUCUGUAGUCAGUUUUGACAGCUACAAAUUUGAUAUAGAUAAUAAGUAAUCUUAGAUGCAGAGUGAAAGCUUUCAUUUCCUAUAGACUGCAAGCUACAAAAUUGUCCAUCGUAUUAUCACAAAGUAGGAGAGAGAACUAUUAUGCAAACACACCAAGACACAUUUCUAUGAUUAAAUGUUGCCAUCAUAUCAGGUUAAAUGAACCUGCAUAUAUAGUAUGCUACUCUUUUCUCUGAUUCUCAUCCUCCAGAGGGUUAAUUUCUUGUCAGGUGAUCUGAUCAGAUAGUUUUUUUUUAAUCUUAAAUGGAGUAGCCACUAGGGUUGCUUCUUGAUCUCCUAUCUUAAUAGCUCAUUUCUUUAUUUUAGAUGUCAAAACUGUUAUUUCAGCAAGUACACAUUUAAAUCACCACUAGCUAUAUAGGAGAGCUAAUUCUCACUAUCUUGACGGGGCGGCGACCAUUCGCGUGAGGCUCGGCGGCGAGAAGUGCUCCUUUUGCUGAGCGACGAGGGGUCGAAGGGCGCUCCAGAUUCGGAUCCGGGCGCGGUGGCGGCCAUGGCCGAGCUCGAGCCUGGGCGUGUGGGUGCGUUGGUGACCGUGGCGGCGGUCGUGGUCGAGCUCUGAGCACGGCGAUGGCCAUGGCCGAACUCAUCCGUCUCGUACAUGAAGAUUCAGGGGCGCCACGAGACGAGAAGAAAGGAGGAGCGAGUAGCGGAGAGGAGAGGAGCAACAGCCAUGAAGACCACUCUUUCGUUAUCUUCUCCCCUCUUCCUCGCCGCUCCACCCAGAGAUACCAACCCACCUUCGAUAACUCCCCUCCCACUGAAGUUCUUGUCGUCCGUCAUAGCACCUCUGCCCGCAUAGUGACUCUGAGCUCAAAGUGGUAGCUUCUGUUUCGUUAGGCUGCAUGGGGUUUGGGUUUGGGUUUGGGUAGCCUCUUUCUUGGGCGCAUGCUACUCAUCUGAUCGAAUUGACAGUAAAUUGGAAUCGAGUUGAAAUAUUUGUUAAAUUUGUUGCAGAAAAAAACACACAGUUGUUGUGACAUGUGCAAUUAUAUUUUGAUCCAAAUUUCUAAACAAGCAUAGGUAAGAAUACUAAUGAAAAUGUAGUUUCGCUCUUCCUAGGAUGGCGUCGAGCUGAGCAGCCUUUGAUACACCGCAUUAGGAGCCCAGGUGUUGCCUUCCUGAUAAAUCUGGCUACAACCGACCGGCAUGAGCUCGCUUUGGCCCCUCCGAUCUUGCAGCUACUGCCUCAUCGCCAACCUACAACAAAAAAGGUGAGCCUCCUGCCUUUAUAUGUUGUCACGAUUAAUAAGGUUGGAGUAGCUUUAUUAAUGGAUGAAAUCCCCUGCCUGUUCCGUUCACCACCCCAAGUGACCAUUGUUUAGCCCAUUGUUGAGGAAAUCGUUAACUGGUAGCUGCUCGGUUGGUUGACAAGUAGGGGAUUAAUAGGCUAAUCGGCCAUUUAAUCAAUUACUCGGGCGAUUAAUCAAUUAAUCGGCUACUCGGUGAACCUACGAGUAGGGAUUAAUCGGCAAGUUAACUGGUUAAUCGGAUGAAUUCUUGAACAGGGGUUUAGCCCCAAUGUCCAUCCCGCUACGUCCCAACCUCAUUUCGUCGGUUAAUUUUAUGUAUAAUAGUGUGAUAAGACAGUGAGGUAUAUGCAGAUCUAUAACAGUAUAUCAUACUUCUGAUUGUACUGUGAUAAGACAGUGAGGUGUGAUCUGGCCUUUUUGGUUCAGAUAGAUAAUUUGAUCACUUUUUUAAGUUCCUGCAUGCUGUCAUAUGCACUAUGCUUAGGAUAUUUGCUACUAAACCAAUAGUGAAAUAAACUUUUAUGUUCAUAUAUUGUUUGAUGGCUUCUCAAUUUAUGCAUGAAAACAAACUUUGCUUUUGAGUGACUCUUCAUUAUGCUCUUGUUUUAUUCACGGUUGAUGGAAUAAUGAAUGCAAAGAUAAGUUCCCUUUGAUUUGGUUGCUCGGCUGACAAGAAUAUGCAUUCCUCUGUAUACCACCUUAACUCUCCUGUGACGUUUUCUACAUUGUGGAUUCCCUCUAUUAGAUAAGGGCCAUUGCUUACUUGAACCAUUUUGUUUAUGAUUGGUUUAUUGUUAAAGUUCAAGAUACUAGGGUUGAUGCUCGAGUACAGAAAUCAUUGUAUUCCAUAUAUCUCACAACUGUUUGUAUCAGGUUCGUGUUAGGCGGUCCCUAUGAAGUGCAUCGAUAAGGCAGAUGGAUUACGUCACUUAUUAGUAUGCUUAGUGAUUAUGGCUCCAUAGUUGGCUCUGUUUAUUAUGUUCAUGUUCUUAUUACCUCCUCUUGUGUGUUCUCGCUUUCGAUAUCGAACUUCAUGUUGAAUGGCUAUAUUUUGUUGUUGUAUGAAUGCGCCGAGAUUGAUCCUACCUUAUAAACUGAUAUUGAUCUUGUGCUCCAUUGUGUUUUACUCCUAUCACAAUUGAAUGUUUGUUUA
This 2749-nucleotide long non-coding RNA is filed under the name Triticum aestivum (bread wheat). RNAcentral's name for it is "long non-coding RNA (TAES_LNC027598)". The record is from RNAcentral. Lineage: Eukaryota; Viridiplantae; Streptophyta; Magnoliopsida; Poales; Poaceae.